This 373-nucleotide ribosomal RNA is filed under the name uncultured organism. RNAcentral describes it as "partial 16S ribosomal RNA". It matches the Rfam family "Bacterial small subunit ribosomal RNA", at positions 527 to 896 of the family's 1533-position model. The record is from RNAcentral.
GUGGGUGGCAAGCGUUGUCCGGAAUUAUUGGGCGUAAAGCGCGCGCAGGUGGUUCUUUAAGUCUGAUGUGAAAGCCCCCGGCUCAACCGGGGAGGGUCAUUGGAAACUGGGGAACUUGAGUGCAGGAGAGGAAAGUGGAAUUCCACGUGUAGCGGUGAAAUGCGUAGAUAUGUGGAGGAACACCAGUGGCGAAGGCGACUUUCUGGCCUGUAACUGACACUGAGGCGCGAAAGCGUGGGGAGCAAACAGGGAUUAGAUACCCUGGUAGUCCACGCCGUAAACGAUGAGUGCUAAGUGUUGGGGGGGUUUCCCGCCCCUCAGUGCUGCAGCUAACGCAUUAAGCACUCCGCCUGGGGAUACGGUCGCAAGACUG